CAGUGUUGCAUGCGUGUCGUCAGCUCGUGUCGUGAGAUGUUGGGUUAAGUCCCGCAACGAGCGCAACCCUCAUCCUUAGUUGCCAUCAGGUAAUGCUGGGUACUUUAAGGAAACUGCCAGUGAUAAGCUGGAGGAAGGUGGGGAUGAUGUCAAGUCAUCAUGGCCUUUAUGGGGUGGGCUACACACGUGCUACAAUGGUGUCUACAAUGGGUUGCAAGGUGCGCAAGCUUAAGCUAAUCCCUAAAAGACAUCUCAGUUCGGAUUGUACUCUGCAACUCGAGUACAUGAAGUUGGAAUCGCUAGUAAUCGUGGAUCAGCAUGCCACGGUGAAUACGUUCUCGAGUCUUGUACACACUGCCCGUCACGCCAUGCGAAUUG
This 378-nucleotide ribosomal RNA is filed under the name Wolbachia endosymbiont of Aleurocanthus camelliae. Its description in RNAcentral is "bacterial SSU rRNA". It matches the Rfam family "Bacterial small subunit ribosomal RNA", at positions 1036 to 1413 of the family's 1533-position model. Lineage: Bacteria; Pseudomonadati; Pseudomonadota; Alphaproteobacteria; Rickettsiales; Anaplasmataceae. The record is from RNAcentral.